This 479-nucleotide ribosomal RNA is filed under the name uncultured bacterium. RNAcentral describes it as "partial 16S ribosomal RNA". It matches the Rfam family "Bacterial small subunit ribosomal RNA", at positions 29 to 507 of the family's 1533-position model. The record is from RNAcentral.
AUGAACGCUAGCGGCAGGCCUAACACAUGCAAGUCGAGGGGGAAGUUACUUUCGGGUGACUGAGACCGGCGUACGGGUGCGUAACGCGUAUACAAUCUGCCUUUCACUGGGGGAUAGCCCGAAGAAAUUUGGAUUAAUACCCCAUAGUAUAUAGGGACGGCAUCGUUUUUAUAUUAAAGCUUAGGUGGUGAAAGAUGAGUAUGCGUUCUAUUAGCUAGUUGGAGAGGUAACGGCUCCCCAAGGCGAUGAUAGAUAGGGGUUCUGAGAGGGAUGUCCCCCACACUGGUACUGAGAUACGGACCAGACUCCUACGGGAGGCAGCAGUGAGGAAUAUUGGACAAUGGUCGGAAGACUGAUCCAGCCAUGCCGCGUGCAGGAUGAAGGUCUUAUGGAUUGUGAACUGCUUUUGUAAGGGAAGAAUAAGGGCUACGCGUAGUUUGAUGACGGUACCUUACGAAUAAGCAUCGGCUAACUCCGUG